AACAGGACGGCAACCCUUUUCUCUGUAUAUCAACCUGUGCUCUUUGGAAAUGAAUCUAGAUGUUAAAGCUAGACUUGUAUCUAGCGAUUCCUGCUUUGUGUUUUCAUUGCCCUUCAGGGAAAAGAAAUCAGACCCUCAUUUGCCGGUAUCGGGAAGAAGAAGAACCUCGAUGCUCUGAGGGUUUUGCUUCCUGACCUUAUGCAGGACAGAGGAGCUCUCAAGAUGAUGUAUGAUACAGACAGGAGUAGACAACGAGACGAGACCCCUUUGUAUCAAUGCUUGAUGUCCACUGCUACUCGGGUGUACGGAAAUCACUUGUCGCUCUCAUUUGUCGGAAUCUCUCUGUGUGUGUUGUUCUCCCUGUCAGGUGCCCUCUUCCAUGUGAAGGGUCCCGAGAUUUCUUGCAGGAAGGACAAUUAGUGUGUGAACCACCAAGUGAUUCUUCUUCAUUUGCAUUGUCACAUUGUAACAGAUCACUCCAAAGAUUCUUCUUCACGAAAGCUUUCGCCUGAAUUCUUGUGGGGUUUUUGCAAGUAACUCAUCGAAUGAUUUUGACAGUGGGAUUCAUCUGUCUUCUCA
Tarenaya hassleriana is the source of this 579-nucleotide long non-coding RNA. RefSeq lists it as uncharacterized. The transcript has 2 exons. Lineage: Eukaryota; Viridiplantae; Streptophyta; Magnoliopsida; Brassicales; Cleomaceae. The record is from RefSeq and is a predicted model, not a curated record.